Molecule: non-coding RNA, 205 nt
Organism: Oryza meridionalis
Lineage: Eukaryota; Viridiplantae; Streptophyta; Magnoliopsida; Poales; Poaceae
Source: Rfam
AAAAAAACAAACCCUAGAUUUCCGUGUCCAACGUUUGACCGUCCGUCUUAUUUAAAAAAAUUAUAAAAAAAAUAAAAAGACAAGUCACACAUAAAGUAUUAAUCGUGUUUUAUCAUUUGACAACAAUGAAAAUACUAAUUAUAAAAAAAAUUCAUAUAAGACGGACAGUUAAAUGUUAGACACAAAAUCUAGGGUUUGUCUUUUU